ACGUAGGAGGCAAGCGUUAUCCGGAGUUACUGGGCGUAAAGGGCGUGCAGGCGGUUGGCUAAGUUCGUUGUGAAAGCGCCCAGGCUUAACCGGGCGCGGACAAUGAAGACUGGUCAGCUAGAGGGCGGUAGAGGGGUGUGGAAUUCCGGGUGUAGUGGUGAAAUGCGUAGAGAUGUGGAGGAACACCGAUGGCGAAGGCAGUCCGCUGGGCCUGUCCUGACGCUCAGGCUCGAAAGCGUGGGGAGCAAACAG
This 252-nucleotide ribosomal RNA is filed under the name uncultured prokaryote. RNAcentral describes it as "partial 16S ribosomal RNA". It matches the Rfam family "Bacterial small subunit ribosomal RNA", at positions 525 to 775 of the family's 1533-position model. The record is from RNAcentral.